Molecule: ribosomal RNA, 343 nt
Filed under: uncultured bacterium
Lineage: Bacteria
Description: bacterial SSU rRNA
Rfam family: Bacterial small subunit ribosomal RNA
Source: RNAcentral
AGGGUUUGAUUAUGGCUCAGGAUGAACGCUGGCGGCAUGCCUAAUACAUGCAAGUCGAACGGAGGAAUCGAGAAAGCUUGCUUUUUUGAGGAAUCAGUGGCGAACGGGUGAGUAACACGUAGGUAACCUGCCCAGAUCACGGGGAUAACGGUUGGAAACGACAGCUAAGACCGGAUAGGUGAUGGCGAGGCAUCUUGUCAUCAUGAAAAGAGCUGAAAGGCUCUGGAGCUGGAUGGACCUGCGGCGCAUUAGCUAGUUGGUGAGGGUAACGGCCCACCAAGGCGAUGAUGCGUAGCCGGCCUGAGAGGGUGCACGGCCACAUUGGGACUGAGACACGGCCCAA